AUUGAACGCUGGCGGCAGGCCUAACACAUGCAAGUCGAGCGGUUGAGGUAGCUUGCUACCGAUGCAGCGGCGGACGGGUGAGUAAUACAUGGGAAUCUGCCUGGUAGUGGGGGACAACGUUUCGAAAGGAACGCUAAUACCGCAUACGCCUACGGGGAAAGGGGGGAGUCGCAGACCUCUCGCUAUCAGAUGAGCCCAUG
RNAcentral lists this ribosomal RNA (200 nucleotides) under uncultured bacterium. Its description in RNAcentral is "partial 16S ribosomal RNA". It matches the Rfam family "Bacterial small subunit ribosomal RNA", at positions 30 to 235 of the family's 1533-position model. The record is from RNAcentral.